UCCCUGGUGGCUCAGACGGUAAAGCAUCUGCCUGCAAUGCGGGAGACCCAGGUUCGAUUCCUGGGUCGGGAA
This 72-nucleotide transfer RNA is filed under the name Capra hircus (goat). It matches the Rfam family "tRNA". Rfam says of the family: Transfer RNA (tRNA) molecules are approximately 80 nucleotides in length. Their secondary structure includes four short double-helical elements and three loops (D, anti-codon, and T loops). Further hydrogen bonds mediate the characteristic L-shaped molecular structure. tRNAs have two regions of fundamental functional importance: the anti-codon, which is responsible for specific mRNA codon recognition, and the 3' end, to which the tRNAs corresponding amino acid is attached (by aminoacyl-tRNA synthetases). tRNAs cope with the degeneracy of the genetic code in two manners: having more than one tRNA (with a specific anti-codon) for a particular amino acid; and 'wobble' base-pairing, i.e. permitting non-standard base-pairing at the 3rd anti-codon position. Lineage: Eukaryota; Metazoa; Chordata; Mammalia; Artiodactyla; Bovidae. RNAcentral also lists the same sequence under 2 other names. The record is from Rfam by way of RNAcentral.